AUCUACAGCCAUACCACCCUGAACGCGCCUGAUCUUGUCUGAUCUCGGAAGCUAAGCAGGAUUGGGCCUGGUUAGUACCUGGAUGGGGGACGGCUUGGGAAUACCCAGUGCUGUAGGCU
Aotus nancymaae (Ma's night monkey) is the source of this 119-nucleotide ribosomal RNA. The record is from Ensembl. NCBI's taxonomy places the organism in Eukaryota, Metazoa, Chordata, Mammalia, Primates, Aotidae.